CAAUUCGUUGGAGACAGAAGACUCAAAACACAAGGGAUGAAUGCAGCGACUCUUCUCCCGCUGUUUGGUAUUCUUCUCGCAGUCUGUGUCAAUCCUUGUCUCACGAGCACCUGCCCGGGAGGGGAGCAUUUCAGUGCCUGGCUGCCUACCAGAGCUUGCACUCACCACAUCAAAGACGUUGUACGUCUGGUGUGUCAUAGCUUCCCUUCAUCGUUACUGGAAGCAACGGAUACCCACGUGACUGGCAAUUUGUCGUCCCAAUCCUCUAAAACGGAAAUACACAGAAUGCUUUUUUGUCAGUGUUGCCUCCACGAUUGUUUUCUCACAGAGCUAAUGGCGUUCUGUCCAUUUGUUGAUCGAUUUUAAACGUGUUACUUUGGUAUGUAAUGAUCAAUUUCAAAAAUUAAAUAUGAAACCUAU
This is a long non-coding RNA of Magallana angulata, 420 nucleotides long. RefSeq lists it as uncharacterized. The transcript has 2 exons. Lineage: Eukaryota; Metazoa; Mollusca; Bivalvia; Ostreida; Ostreidae. The record is from RefSeq and is a predicted model, not a curated record.